Molecule: long non-coding RNA, 17656 nt
Organism: Anolis carolinensis (green anole)
Lineage: Eukaryota; Metazoa; Chordata; Lepidosauria; Squamata; Anolidae
Exons: 2
Source: RefSeq, a predicted model, not a curated record
UGAGGUGCUUGUUAGAACACGGGGGCCGGGUAUAGAGGUUCAGCUCUGUCAGGCACUUGGGAAGAGACCCACCCCCCUCCUCUAGCCCCACCCCCUGUGUCCUGGCUGGCACUGCAGGAUAGAAGCUCAGCCCUGCCUCAGAACUCGUAACUCUGCCCAUCCCAGUCCUGGGAUGGGCAGCUGUUUCAGCAAUUUGUACUCCCAUAUAGAUCAUUCUAUCCCAUGUUGAAAAACCUAAUAUUUGACUUAGCACAAGUAUUUCCCAAAAACACUUUUUAAAAAUUAAGAACACAAAGCUGAAAACAGGCCCCUUCCUCAGAAUGGCUCUCAAGGACAAUUCUCUCAAGUGUAUAGAGCUCAUUUCAAGUCUGAACAGUAUGAACUCACAGCAGAAGGAUGUUUUUGGUAAGUGUAGACCUUCUUUCCCUAGGGGCCUAUCAAAAUUGCAGUGUUGUAAAAAGCCAUGCCUAGAAUUCACUUCCAACAGAUGCUAGAAUAUUUAGGGUUAUUUCCCAGUAAUUUUACUAGAAGUAUUUGGGUGGUUUAUGGAUAUUUUGUCUUCAGGGUCAUUUACACUACAGCAUUGUAGUAUUAUGACUCCUAUGGAAUCUGGGAUGUAGUUUGGUGAGGCAAUAGAGCUCUCUGGCUGAGAACCUGAAAUGUCCCUCCCUACACUGCAAAUCCCGGGAUUCCAUAGCAUGAAAUCAGGGCAGUGAAAAUGGAAUUAUAGCAUUAUAAUUCUAUAGAGUGAAGAAAUCCCAGAUAUUACUAAUUUUGCUACCAUUCUUGCCUCAUGUGUCCACCCCCAUUUCUCCCUUUAAGGCUGUAUCUGCGCUAAGAAAGCAAAGAAAGUUUGUAAAUAUCACCUCAUCCAGCCAUAAGUUGCUUUCUCAUGCUGUGAACCAGUAAUUCCAUAAAAGAUUGAAAAAUCUUAUAUUUUUAAAGAAAUAACAUGUAAAACCAAUUUUGUUUCUUAUUUCUACUGUAAAAAAAAUGGUAAUGUAAUAUCUUGACAUCAUUUUCAAAAUUCCUUGGCAUUUUUUAAAACAAGUAGAUUUGCAAUACUUUUAUUGUAUAGUGUGGAAGGUCCCGCAGCCUCUUAUGUUUCCUUAAAGUAAGGAAUGAGAAUCACAUGGCCUUAUAGAUGUUGCUAAACUGGGAUUGUCGUGAUUCUUCAUUGGCUAUGCUGGCUAGGGCUGCUGGGAAUUGCAAUCCAACAAUUUCUGGAGGGCCUCAUGAUUUCCUACUGCUGCCUUAAUUAAUCUUUAUUUUUCCAAGUUCUCCUGUACUAUUAGCGUUUGGGGGAGGAGGCCAUUAGUAGCUCACAGGGAAUUCACCAACAGCUGUUAAAAUGCAGUGGCAUUCCAAAAAUGUCUGCAUAAAUGGUAAAAGGAUUGUGGGGAUUAUCACGGAGAGGAAGCAAAUCAACAUUAGAGAUGCCAGUGUUCCACUGAAACGUAGACCAGACUUGUCAGAUGUCUUUGAGGAUUGGGCUUCCAGAACUGUUUUCUCAGUUGGAUCCUUCGCCCAGAGAAAGGAGACAGUCUGAUUUGACAGUGAGACCUGAUGCUUUCUGCUUCAUUAGCAGAUCCACAAUGUAAGUGACAUUCUCCCUUCCCAGAGAAGACAAAAAAAUGGAAUCCCAUUAAGGUGUGAUAAAGAUCUGAAAGGAAUGGUUCUCAGUAUCUAAGGUUACAUUUUACAGAAAAAGCUUGAAGAGGGAACUCUUUUUUUCUGUCUUCCUCCCACAACACUCCUUGAAAUGUCUGCAGUUCCAGAACUGCCUGGUUAAAGCCCAGGGCCAGCUUUGUCAGUAGGGAAACUGAAAUUGUCACCCCAGGCAGCAGAUUUUGUGUGUCAGCACAUUGCCAACAUAUAACUAUGUAGCUUUACUACAUGACUAUAGUAAAACUACAGCUAUUGUAGUUUUAGUGCAAGGAAUGGGGAGAAAUGAUUAUGGGACUUUCUAAUUUUCUUGUCAAAAUAUUGUACUCGAUUUGGAAUGCCAUGUGUCUUGAGUACAAGACUCAAGAGUUAUUAUUUGUGGCUCGGUCAUAGGUUACAAAAUGCCCUUGGAUGACCCUGUUGGAACAAGGCCAUUCUGGCUCGAAGUACCUCCAAAUACCUGUCUUCUCACGCCCCGUGCCAUGACUUCCUCUAGGAUAACAGCAGAUAAAGAGUGUUUGGGGAGGGGCUCAGCACAGCUGCAUCUUAAGUUGUGCUGCCUCAGCUAUUCUUGCUGAAGAAUCAUCCUGCUUAAAGAAGACAGUGCAAACACUGGCCACCUGCCGAAAGCAAACUCUAUCCUGCACUAAGGGGAAAAGACACCCGAGCCAAGCUAGAGACUGCCAUGCUGACUGCACCCUUGAGACUGGAUACUAACUAUUCUUUUGUGCACCCCUCUACCUCUCUUAGUUUUCCCAGCUAAUCAUUGAUCUCUCAGCUUUUUGGACUGCUUACUACCAUGUGGUUUCUCUCCUCACUCAGUGAAUUAUGACACACUGCUAGUGAAGACACACUGUAAUUAAUGACUUUAUACAAUACCUUCCUUCCAAUAAACUUAAGCAAGCAUGCAUUGCUCUCCCACUUUUUGCAUGUUAUCCUCCAAACCAGUCAUCCUCAAACUGCGGCCCUCCAGCUACUUGGACAUCCAACUCCCAGAAUACCUGACCAAUGAACAAGCUGGGUAGGGCUUUUUGGGAGCUGGAGGUCAAAAUAGCUGGAGGACCACAGUUUGAGGAUGCCUGCUCCAAACCCUGUGAGGUAGGUCAGGUUGAGUGGUCCAAGGUCACCAUUGAGUUUCAUGACUUGGUGGAUAAUAGGUCUGGACCUUCUAAGGCUUUGUUCAACAGACUAACCAACUAGGAUUGGAUGCUCAUUUCUGAGGACAUUUUAUUCCUUUUUUUAGGUGCAGCCUAUGCACUGAAAGGAUCGGGCUAGUUAGAACACUAACACUAUGUAACACAAUUUUAGAUCCUGGAUUACAAAUGUCAUUUCCUAAUAGGUUCUAUCAUAAAAACAUGGAAAAAGAUUAUUAAACUACAAAAACCUUGCGUUUGCGGGACAUUCCGCAGCACAUUUUGAUAUAGUUUUUCAUUUAAUAGAGUAUCAACCCAUUCAACAUAGUUUGUGACUGCCACAAAAAGCAAAGUUUCUGGAGUAUAGGGUUAUUGUAUGUUUUCCGGGCUAUAUGGCCAUGUUCCAGAAGUAUUCUCUCCUGACGUUUCUCCCACAUCUAUGGCAGGCAUCCUCAGAGGCUGUGAAGACACAAUACCUCAUAACCUCUGAGGAUACCUGCCAUAGAUGUGGGCGAAAUGUCAGGAGAGAAUACUUCUGGAACAUGGCUAUAGAGCCCAGAAAACAUACAACAACCCUGUGAUACCAGCCAUGAAAGCCUUCGACAACACAUUUCUGGAGUAUAACCACUACUUUCAAACUAAGUACCAUGAAAUUAAACAGGAAAUCACACUUUCAAACCAUGAACAGAAAUUUUUCAAAUUUUGUUACAUAGUGUAAUUAGCCAAGUUUUUCCAUCCCACUUGUCCUAGGCUUCACAUCAUUGUGUACUUUAAGAUCUGUUGACACCUCCAUCUCAAUCUACUUCCAUUUGCCCAAUUUUAAGUAAACCAUGCUAGGAAAUUUUCCAAAAAUUGAUAUGCUCCUGAGAGAGUACCUUCAAGAAUCUUUUUUCUAAAUAUUUUUCUCUGCCACCAGGAUGUGGACUUUCUUAUGUUUCAUACCCAAUGUCAGUGAAUAAAACCUUAUACAUAUGGUGAUCUUACUUUGGAAGAGUACUUAAUGGGCACAGAGCGUGUGUUUUGCACAACUACCCUGUUUCCGCUCUCUCUCACACAUGCAAACACUUUUACAUAAACCACAUUACCAGUUAAUUACAAUGAGUCAAAAAACCAAGGCUAUUUCUAAACAUGUGCAAAGUAACCAGUAAGGCUUCGCUGGUCACAGAGUGAUCUGCAUGUGUGUGUAUUUGAAAAAAAUAGGUAGGUGAGUGAGUGCAUGAAUUUUGAAGCACACAUGGUGUGGGUGGCUUUUUUAUUUUUUUUAUUUUUUUUACCCCACUUUUCUUCCAAUAUAGAGACUCAAGGUGUAUAACAAUAAAUUUUUUUAUUGUGUCAGAAGUGACUUGAGAACAUACUGCCAGUCGCUUCUGGUGUGAGAGAAUUGGCCAUCUACAGAAAAGUUGCCCAAGGGACAUUCGGAUGUGUUACCAUCCUGCUGGGAGGCUUCUCUCAUGUCCCUGCAAGCUAGAGCUGACAGGCAGGAGCUCACCCCAUCCAUGGAUUCAAACUGACAACCUUCAGGUCAGCAACCCAACCAUCAGGUCAGCAGUUCAGCCAACACAAGGGUUUAACCCAUUGCACCAUCGCAGCUCCCACAAUAAAUAUGAUACAAUGCUAAUUAAAAGAAUGUAAAAGCAUAUGCAUGCAUACACACACACACACCUUAAAAUCCCUUGUUUCAUUAUGAAGCUACUACUAUUUCAUGUGCCUUUGAAAUCUUCUCUCUGCAUCUGAUGAUCCUGGUCUGGUGCCUCUCCUCCAGAUGUCUUGGACCACAAUGGCAAAGCUGGCUGGCAAUGGUGGGAGUUGUAGUACAAUACACAUGGAUGUUACUAUGCUGGGACAGAGUUUUAAAAGAUUUAAACUUGAGCUACUAGAAUUCUCCAGCUAGUAUACAAAACAGUCAAGCUGAGUACCAAAUGCAAAAGUGAAUCUAUUAAUUCAGCAGGGGAGAAAGAGGAGAAGAUGGAAUCUUGCCCUUCUCAUAGAUUCAAACAAAAGCAAACUACCGUCACUACUUCUAACUUGUGUGUUCUUCUUUAUUAAUAGCUUUUGCUAUCCCAACAAUAUUCUGUUUUCUUUGGUCCACAUGUGGCCCAGUUUUCAUCUGUGGAAAUAUUGGAAGCUAUGCAUCAACAGAGCUGAGAAAUAUACAUUCAGGUAUGAAUCUCAUGAUGAACAAUAAUUUCUUGGCUUAGAUAGCUGGAGAAUCAGAAAUCCCACAGAAGGUUAACACACCUUUGGCCAAGUCUAGCCCAGAUCGUCUCAAUAGUCCACUUCUGUAUCAAGUGUGUUUUCCCAUAGCCCUGAAGUAUUUUACCAAGAAUCAAAAGAAGUUGGAAACUUGACAAAGUGCCCUGGCUAAGCCUCCUAUGCUUUAGUGGUACGGGCUGGCCUUUGUCCUUCCUGAAAGAGAUCCUGUGGCUCCUAAGAUGCUUCCUGCUGCAGCUGCUGGAUCCCCAGACACAGAGAUGCUAAUCAGCUCUCUUGAAGGAGAUACAUUCUAUCUUCUAAACAAGAGCUAAAAGACUGCAGGGCUUUGCUUGCCCUUUCGCAAAGUUUACUGUUCAAUCACACACACAGAUCCCCCUGUAUCUCCGCAUCUCACUUUGUCCCUCUACACAGCUGAAUAAAACCCCACAUUUUCUGUUUUGAACUGGAAUAUAUGGCAGUGUGGACUCAGAUAAGCCAGUUCAAAGCAGAUAUUGUGGGAUUUUCUGCCUUGAUUUUCUGGGUUAUAGGGCUGUGUUGAAAGGCCUUUGACUUCUUUUCUUCCUUUCUUUCUGUGAAAUAAUAAAAAAGAAUCCUGUUUUUGAAAGAAAGAAAACCCUCAGUUUGAAUGGCUUGACUUUCUGCAACAAGAGCCUGAAGCCAAGUUUCAGGCCAGCUCAGACAAAUCACUGAGGCAAAGGGAAGCUGCACAGCAGACCUUUCGUGGCACUCUUGCAUUCCACAGUAGCAGAGAUUUCUGCUUCUUCCUCUUCCAACCUUUUAUUUUUAACUUUGUCCUGACCAGGUUUUCCUGAGUCUUUUAUAGGGUUCCUUCAAAAUAAAAAUAUUUGCAUACCUGCUGGCAUGUUUAUAGGUGUCCACAUCAAUUAAGGCUAUUCAUAAGAUACUUUCUUACUCAUUUUAGUUUCUAUAUUAGGAGAGUCCAGCACAAGAAUCUUGCCCAACCUGGGCUGGCAAGGCUACUGCAGAUACACACUGUGAUGGCCAGAAGACAGUGUCUGCAUGUGUUUGCCCCAAAAAGUUUGAAAAUACAGUUAAAUUAGGAGAGUGGUCAGGCCACAAGGGAAAGGGGCACAAGGCAUAAGAUUGUUAAAGAGUUUGUUUACCUGGUGAGAAAAAUAUAUAUAUUCUAUACAUACACACACACUAGCCAUGGUAAACCAAAUCACAUCAACUAGUCAUCGUAAAUACUAAAGUUUUAUAUACCUUAAUUGGCCUUCCUCCUUUUUUCCUUUAAAAUAUUUUUGUAGCAGCCUUCCUCUGAAGUUGCUCAUAGCCCUUGAGAUAUAUCAAAGCAGGGAAGGACAAGGUGAAGCAUGCUGGUCCCGAACCUUUUCUCCCCAACCUAAAGCCUUCAAGAUGCCCCAAAGUCCCAUAACUUUCCAACCCCUAAAAGCUUCCCUUUGCCACCACUCAGUUGCCCUUGAGUCAAUCUGAAUACAAAGGUCUCAGUGGACAGUCAAUAGAGAGAAAGGUAGCCUAAAAUCUUUUUGAAAGCCAUAAACUGGAAGCAGCCAUCAAGGAGGCCCCCAUUGGGUCAUAUUGAAUGUUUACCAUGUGUAAACCGCUCUGAGUCCCCAUGGGAGAUAGAGCGGCAUAUAAAUAAAGUUUGUUGUUGUUGUUGUCAUCAAAAUGCUUGUGCUGGGAGCAGAAGUGAGAGAAGGUUGGCCUUUCAAUUGUCUCAAAGCCCAGACAGGCUCAUAUUAACUGGAGCGAAUUACAGGGCGCGUUCAACACCUCUGUUUAAGGAGCUCCACUGGUUGCCAUUUAUUUUCCGGGCCCAAUUCAAGGUGCAGGUUAUCACCUACAAAGCCCUAAACGGUUUGGGACCCACCUACCUUAGAGACCGCAUCUCCCUCUAUGAACCCACACGUUUUCUUUGCUCAUUGGGGGAGGCCCUUCCCUCGCUCCCACCACCCUCACAGUCACGGUUGGUGGGGACGAGAGAGAGGGCCUUCUCCGUCGUGGCCCCCCGGCUUUGGAACUCUCUACCUAGAGAGAUCAGGCAGGCCCCUACCCUCCUCUCCUUCCGGAAGAGCUUAAAAACCUGGUUCUUCCAAAAGGCCUUCAAUGUUUAAUUGUUGCUGGAUUGAUCUAUCUGUCCAUUCCAUAAUAGUCCCAUUGUUGUUGUCUUGUCAUUUUAUACCGCACUUUAUUGUCCAUUCAACUAUGAAAUUUCCUUUCCCCAUUUCGUAAUACUCUGCAUUUUGCCUGGGAUCUACGACUUAGUCUCCUGUUUUUAAUACUGUAUCCUGCUUGUUGAUUUUAAUGAUUGUUUUUAUUGAUGUUGAUGUUUUUUACUGGAAUAAUUGUUUUAUUGCUUUGUUACUGUUAUUUGUUUGUUUUAUCAGGCCAGGCCCCAUGUAAGCCGCCCCGAGUCUCUUCGGGGAGAUGGGGCGGGGUAUAAAAAUAAAGUUAUUAUUAUUAUUAUUAUUAUUAUUAUUAUUAUUAUUAUUAUUAUUAUUAUAUUAUCCAAUACUAAUCAAUAAUGCCCUUCCAAUAGCUAUUCUUCAGACCAGUUGGUUCUAUGUUGAUUCUUGAUUACUGUAAUCUUAUUCGCCACUACUAUUCAUAGCAUAGCAAGAAGCAUCUAAAUGCAAUAAAGGGGUUAAUUCAGAGUGCGGUAAUUACUCAACAUCCCAUCCAGCAUGAAGGCCCUUGAAACCAUAAAUAUCUAAAGUGAUUUAACAACUUUCCUCAAGUGUUUUUCCAUUUCUCUUAAAGUGGUUUCUGUUACAAGUCUAUUAUCUAGUUGUACUAUUCAUAUCUCUCUCAAAAGUUUUAGGAUAGCAAUUAGAGACAUUAACAUCGAUCCACUUCAAAUUAUCUGUGUUGCACAGGAACGUCUAUAGGAUGAUACAGGCGGCAGAAUGCUUUACAGAUGUUCUUCUCUUCUUCCUCUCUCUCCUCCUCCUCCUCUUUCUCCUCCUUCCCAUCAUCAUCUAGCAUAACUAUUGUUAAAAAAAGUACAAAAAAGGGGGACUUUACCUAGCAACAAAAUUAUUGUUAAUUUCCUAUGAAUAGGAAAUCACUCAGUCACUUUUUAAUCAGCAGCUCUACUCGGAUCUUGCAAAUACUGGGCUUUUUAAAAUUGAGUCUAACCACCUAUAACACACUUUUCCUUUUCAAGUGUUCCAGAAGCCAUGAAAGACUGGAAAUAAUGUUAAAUGCAAGAGAUCCAUCCUAUGUUGAAACAUUGAUUUCUUUCCAAAGAAAUUUGACCUGAAGGCAUUAAUGAGAUGUAUAGGAUUCACGAGGCUUUUCGGAUGUUGCUGGAUUACAAGUCCCAGUGACCUUAGUAGCCAGCAUUGCCAGUGGUGAGAAAUGCUGGCUGGCAGAUGUAAUCCAACAUCUGAAGGGCCAAAGGAAUCAACAACAUAAGAAUUAUAGAAAAACAAUUAAAAUUUAAUCAUAAUCCUUUACCUAGGAUAUUUGUAACAAAAUAUAGAAAUAGAGAUGUAAAUGAAAAGCAGCUUAUGGUUUUUGAUGCCAGAGGUAAAUGCUAUUGUUGAACACUACUUCCCUGAGAACUUCUGUCCCCUGCACUGGCUUCCUUGUAGUUAUCAUAGCAUUUUUAUUUCUUUUUUGUUUUUAGUAUUUUUAUUUUAUUUAUAUUUAUGUUGGUAGUCAAUUUGUAGAGUGUUGUUGUGUACCUUCAAAACAUUUCUGUCAUUCUUGAGUCUUUUUUUAGAGUUCCUUCAAAAUAAAAAGAUUUGCAGACCUGCUGGCAUGUUAUGGAGUUUUCUUUGCAAGCUUUAUGGGGGGGAGGGGGGGGCAAGAGGCGUUGCCACUGUCUUUGCCUGAGGCUGAGAGAGUGUGACUUUCCCAGGAUCACCCAAUCUCUGAGUAGAGAUUUGAACUCUGGUAUCCCAGAGUCCUAGUCUGACACUCAAAUGACUCCUAACACUGUCACUUUUGUAACUGCUGAUUAUAUAUGGGGAGGAAACCUCAAAGGAAGCCACCUUGUCCUAAAUCAGAUUGACCAGUAUUGUCAACUCUGACAGGCAGCCAUGGUUCUCCAGGGUUUCAGAAAAGACUAUGGCCUAGUUUAACCUGAGAUCUUUGGUAUUUCUAGUCUCAAGUAAUUUCUCACUUAAACACUCACAAUGUCCAGCCCUACUUAACUUCCAAAAUCAGACAAGAUGAGUUAUGUUGAGAAUGGCUAAUAAACUCCUCAGGGAGAUAGGAUGGGAUAUAAAUAAAGUUUAUAUUAUUAUUUAUGCAGCAGGAUAAUAAAGCUGGUUAAUAUCCAGGAUAAUAAACCCAGAAACUUAGUAUUGUGUUUAGAAUUCUGAGUUCCAAAAUUAAGAAUAUAGAUCGUGAGAUGCAAGCUUUAGGAAGAAAUCAAUUCAUUUGAAAUGCGGUGCUGGAGGAGAGUUCUCUAGACACUCUGAAUGGCUAGAAACAUAAAUGAAUGUGUCUUAGGGUAAAUCAGGCCUGAACCUUGCCUAGAAGCCAAGAUGACUAUAAUUAAGCUAUCGUAUUGUAAAGAUAAAAAGAUAGGACUCAUUAGAAAAGAAAUUGGGUUUUGGGAGGAUUGAAGGCAGCAGGAAAAGAGGAAGACCAUAUUGCAGGUAGAUAGACCCAGUCAAGAAAGCAAUGACCCAGAGUUUGGAGGACCCCAGUAGACUGUUGAUGACAGAUGACUUGGAAGGUUAUAAUUCACAGGACUGCCAUAGAUUGAUGUUAACCAAACAGCAAUUAACAACAGUCUUUUUCUUGCUUAAGGCUAUAGCCAACUCUUCUAGCUUUCCUAGAUAUACAAUAGACAUCUUGGAGGGGAUCAUCUGUUCCUAGUCUAGGACAUUACAAUACAUAAAGGUAUGAAUCAAGCAAUUGAGCUGGCACAAACAUUACAUCAUGAAAUCGGUGUCAGUUCAGUUUUCAUGUACUCUUCCUUACCCUGUUCCAGCACCAUCCCCUUUCCACAAUUUCUCAUCCUACCUUAACUUUUCUCCUUAAAUGUGUUAGUGUCAUUGGCAAUGCACAUUUUUAAAGUGCAGACAGAUGUCCAAUUACAAAAGCAGCAAAAGUAGAGUUUUGUUGGGGGUUUUUUUUAACUUUUCUUUUAAAUGCAGUGAAAUCAAAUAAGCUGUCUGGUUGGCUUCUGGGGCUGAAGCUAUUCUCGAAUGCUUGGUGCCACUGUUAUUAUUUCAUGGUUUCCUCUUGCUUUCCUUUAUUUAAUUCAGCAGCUCUUUGUGGCCCAAGAAGCCAAUAAAAACAGCCACGUGGCACACUCAGAAUUCCAUGCCUGGGCCUUUAGUUGUUGGCACUUUAAUGAGAAAAGAACUAUUAUGGUUUACAACUCUAAGGGUAUUUUGAGUUAUUCUGCUCCAAAGUAACUCUUCCCCCAAACUUUGCUUGCAGUGGUGCUGAGCCUGACAUAUUAUGAGGAAAUGGGUGUAGAAUGUGUAUAUUUUAAAAAGGAGUAUGUGAUUAAUAAUAUGUCCCCUUCCAACUCUCCAGAAUUGACAAGGAAGGUCCCAAUUCAUACUCUGCCAUGUCGCAUUUUCAGCUGCUUUUAAAAUAUUGGAGCUUUUCGUCUUCUCCUCUUACUUUCCUACUUUCUCUUCAAUUUACUUUAACUGUUAUAAGCUGAGCUGAAAGUGCAAAAGUCUACAUUCAACUCAGUAGGGUGGAGGGAAGAGGAGGCAGCAAAAUCCUGACAUUUUCAGAUUCAGGCAAAAGCAAACUGCUGCAGUCUCUUCUAGCUUGGCUGUUCUUCCUCAAAAACCUCACCAUCUUGGCCAUAUUCUGAUAUUGUUUGGCCAAACAUUUUCCAGUUUUCAUCUGUAAAAUGUUGAAGGUUACUCAAGGCAGGCAGAAAUCAGCCAGUAAUGCUGCCAUUUCAUCACAGUUUUCCCUCCUCGACAGUCUAAGGUUGCAUUCACCUAUGAUACCACAAAGUUACAUUGGUCCUAUCCACAUGACACUUUAUACAAUAGUGUUAUUAAUACACCUGAACUGCCAUGGUUACAUCUUAGAGAAUCUUAGGUUUUAUAUUUUGGUACCUCACUGGAGUUCUCUGAGAAUUCUGAAAAAUAUUUAUUUCAUUCUUUCUGUAACAAACAACAAAACUCAGGAUUCACAGGAUGGGGCCAUAAAGGUAAAUGUGAAAUCAUAGUGCUAUAAUUACUAUCCUAUCUGAUUUGUCAUCAUAGAAUCAUAGAGUUGGAAGAGACCUCAUGGGCUAUCCAGUCCAAUCCCCUGUCAAGAAGCAGGAAAGUCACAUUUAAAUCACCCCCGACAGAUGGCCAUUCAGCCUCUGCUUAAAGUCUCCAAAGAAGUCUCCACCACACUCCGAGGCAUAGAGUUCCACUGCCAAACUGCUCUCACAGUGAGGAAGCUCUUCCUAAUAUUCAGGUGGAGUCUUCUUUCCUGUAGUUUGAAGCCAUUGUUCCGUGUCCUAGUCUGCAGGGCAGAAGAAAACAAGCUUGCUCCCUCCUCCCUAUGACUUCCCCUCGCAUAUUCAUACAUGGCUAUCAUGUCUCCUCUCAGCCUUCUCUUCAGCAGGCUAAACAUGCCCAGCUCUUUAACCCGCUCUUCAUAGGGCUUGUUCUCCAGACCCCCUCUAGUCUCCCUCCUUUGGAAACUUUCCAGCUUGUCAAUAUCUCCCUCCAAUUACGGUGCCCAGAAUUGGACACGGUAUUCCAGGUGUGAUCUGACCAAGGCAGAAUAGAGGGGUAGUGUGACUUCCCUGGAUCUGGACGCUAUACUCCUAUUUGUGCUGGCCAAAAUCCCAUUGUUUUGUUUUGUUUUUUGCUGUCACAUCACAUUGUUGGCUCAAGUGAGGCUGGGGGGGACGAGAGACAGGUCCUUCUCGGUUGUGGCUCCUCGGCUGUGGAACUCCCUCCCCAGUGACAUCCGGCAGGCUCCAUCCCUUUUGGGGUUCAGGAAGAAGCUGAAGACCUGACUAUGCACGCAAGCGUUUAAUGAAUGAACUCAGUUAGCGUAGACAUGGAUUGGAUUAAGGCUCUUGCACAAGGUCUGAUGGAUAUUGGCACAAAUAUUCUUUUAUAUAUUGUAUAUUGCUAUGUUUUUUUAACUAUUUUUAACUGUUUUAAUUCUUAUUUUAUUGUAUUAUGAUGUACUGGUAGUGAUCCUGCCAGUUGUGUAAGCCGCCCUGAGUCCCCUUGAGGAGAAGGGCAGGGUAGAAAUAUCGGAAAUAAAUAAAUAAAAUGUUUAACUUGUUGUCUGUGAGGACUCCAAGAUCUUUUUCACAUGUAUUGUUGUCGAGCCAGGCGUCCCCCAUUCUGUACCUUUGCAUUUCAUUUUUCCUGCCUAAGUGGAGUAUCUUGUAUUUGUCCCUGCUGAAGUUCAUUUUGUUAGUUUUAACCCAUCUCUCUAAUUUAUUAAGAUCGUUUUGAAUUCUGAUCCUGUCUUCUGGAGUAUUAGCUAUCCCUCCCAAUUUGGUGCAAACUUGAUGAUCAUGCCAUCUAACCCCUCAUCUAAGUAAUUAAUAAAGAUGUUGAACACAACCAGGCCCAGGACAGACCCCUACUUAUGGCACUCAACUCGUCACUUCUUUCCAGGAUGAAGAUGCAUUGGUGAGCAUCCUUUGGGUUUGUUCACUUAGCCAAUUACAGAUCCACCUAACCAUAGUUUUGCCUAGCCCACAUUAAAUAGUUUGUUUGCCAGAAGGUCAUGGGGGGCCUUGUCGAAGCCCUUACUGAAAUCCACGUACGCUACAUCCAUGGAAUUCCCUGCAUCAACCCAGCAUGUAACUCUAUCAAUCCACUCCUUUAGGCUUCACACAAAUCUACCAUUUGCCAAAAUAUACUAUCCUAUGCUUUUCUUUUCCAUUUCUGACCAGAUAGCUUAACCGUUGGUUCGUCCCAUUGAAUACCAAGGGACAAUUGUGAUCUCUUGGUAUCCAAUUUCUUAGUCAAUAUGUUCAUCAAUUAUCUUUUGUUGUGCAAUAUGCCCUGCCUAUCUUCUUUUUGCCUCCUAGAUUUCGUUGACCACGUCACGGACCCAAGUUCUUUGACACAGCUCUUUAUUGCUGAUUUUGUCUCUUAUUGUCAUGCCACAAAUCCUUCUUUCCCUUGCUCUCUGAGUCACCAACAGUUUUUCCUUCUCUAACUAUGUUGUUGCCCAUGUUUCAGAUGCAUAUAACAUUGCCGGUAAAACUAUAGUGUUGAAAAUAUCUGCUCUGACCUUCAUUGGCAACUUAUCAACUUUUAAGUUGUCCAGAAGAUGAAAAGCAAACACAGAUGUGCUUCAGAGAUCCCGAGAGAACCAUAUGUUUUGUAAGAUUUGCUUGGAAAACUACAAACUGAAGAACCCCAUUUGUGCUGUGCAGAAAAACAGGUCUCCAACCUUUAAAUUUGUUUGGAAUGGAAAAAACACUGAGACAUAACUGCAGGAGAGGCUUAUGGGCGCUUCUCACAAGAAAAUGACUUUCAAAAACAGGUUCUGUAAAUGUAGAAAAAAUGUGCUUAAAUUCAGAGCAGGAAAGGAGGCAAGUAGCUUUGGAAGUGACCUUGAGAUAUUCUGCUUGUAAGUCCUCCUCCAAAAGGGAUGAACAUAUGUAUCAGCAUAUGCAGAACCAGAGACAAUAGCUGGUGAUGCGCCAUCACUUUAGUAUUGUAAUGUAGUAGUUGUUGUAUGUCUUCUAGUUGUUUUCUAUGAACAGCUACCCCCCAUGAGCUUUCAUGGCUAAGUGAACCCUGGUCUCCAGAGUUGUAGUCCAACACUCAAACCAUUAUACCAUGUUGAAAUGAGGGACAAGCCCCUGGAGUAGAUGCCUAAGGUCACAAUAUGUAUUACAAUGUAUAUUUAUUGUGUAUACAUUUGAACAAAAAAUAAUUAUUUCCUCAAGGGAGGGAGCUAGUGUGGUGUAGUGGUUUGAGCAUGACUCUGGAGAUCAGGGUUUGAAUCCCUUCUCAGCCUUGGAAACUCAGUGUGUGACCUUGGGCAAAGCUUAGUUUUUCAAUCUCCAAGGAAAGCAAUGGCCAUUUCCUCAGAACGAAUCUUGUCAUGAAAACUCCAUUAGGACCACCAUAAAUUGGAAAUGAAUUGAAGGCAGGCAACAACAAAUUUCUUCAAAAAUGUCAGGGCCCUAAGCUUGCAAGACCUAAUAGUUGAUGGCAGAGCGACUUGGAGCUUUCAAUUCAUAGGGUUACUAUACGUUGAAUUCUACUGACAGUUAACAACAAUUUCCUCUUACUUGGAAGAAACAAAUAUGCAGCUUGAACUAUUGAAAAGCAAAUCAAGGUACACUUAAACUGAAGAAUUAAUUACCUUGGGAAGUUGUAAGGGGCAAAACUAUAAUUCUAUUCACAAAAAAUGCCAUCAGUUGCUACUAACUGCUAGCCAAGGAAUUGGCCUAUUGUGCUUGAGGAUAUCUAAGUGAGGUCAAAUUUAGAAUAAGGACCACGGUUAUGGAGGAUCCUGCCCAAUGAGCAUUAUGCUAUACCUGAUUUCCCCCAAUUGAAACACUCUCACCAAGGCUGAAAGCAACAGAGGUUUAUUCACAAUCUGGCCAGAAGGGAUACAUGCAAGCCUAGCGCCAAAAAUAUAUGCAUACAAAGUAUGCAAAUAUAUGAAUACAAAGACAUGAGACUUUAUACACUUGACAGCUAUUCAAACCUUUCUGCUCUGUCUGCUCCCCUUCCUGAUUGGCCAAAGGAGGGGCUGGCUUGGAUCCUCACCCUGAUUGGCUGGUGUUCUGGUGAUGUUGCUGGCUCCAGCUCUCCUGGAAAGAGGUAAGCCCCAAAAAGUCCAUGUCCAUAUUGGGAGAUUUAAGUGAGUCCUUGACUGGUUUAAUUGUUAUGAUAUUGGACGAUGAGGAAGUUUCCUGGGAAAGCUGAGGGCAAGGAAAGCAUUUCAUUUCUUUUGACUUUGGUGUCCUUGGCAAACUAUAAUUCUUGGGGUGGGUGUGCUAUGUUUGACAACAUAAGGAGGGUGAAGGCAAGCAGGAGUUCUUUAUUUGAGGCUUGAUACAGAUACAUAAUAAACAACCUAUCAAGGAAACAUCAGUACAAGCAUUAUGCUUAACACACAACCACUUAAAUUGAAAUUCAGGAGACAGCUAUGUCAGGUUCUCCUGCAUGCCAGGGGGUUGGACUGGGUGGCAGGCAUGUAGCCGGGGGGGGGGGGGGGGCGGCUUGAGGGGCUUCAGCCUGCCCCCCCCCCUAAAAUUCUCAAGGUGAUCCACGAGAAGGCCUUACAUUUAUUAUUUAAACUGUUAAUGUUUAUUCAUAUCAUGAUCUGAUCACCAUGCUCAAUAUAUCCCAUAUGCAUGAGGGUAUUGGGAUAACAAUACAAAAGGUUUGCUAGGGUAGACCCUCUCCCGCUCAGACUCAGCCACCCCCCCCCCCCCCCCGAAACAAAAUCCCAGCCCCUCCUGAAACAAAAUCCUGGCUACGGGCCUGCUGGGUGGCCUUGUGGUCUCUUCCAACUGUAUGAUUCUAUGACUCUAAACAUACCUAAAUCAGUAAUCAAUCCACUAAACUCACUGGGCAUGCACACACUUGGGCCAGGGUUCUUUUAAAACUUCUAAAUGCAUAUGUAAAAGACUAACUCUGUAAACACAGUAUAGUAGAGUCUUACUUAUCCAACAUUCGCUCAUCCAACGUUCUGGAUUAUCCAACGCAGUCUGUCUCCCACCCAGAUCCACAGCUGUUUCUCUUGCCAGCAAGGACUGAACUUUUUACAGAUUUAAUUUUCGACAGUGUUGUUACUGUAAGUUCAUUUUAUGCAAUUCUAUCUUCAUUUGUAGUCAAUUUGUUAGUAGCCAAUGUUUUUGUAGUCAAUGUUUUCAAUACAUUGUGAUGUUUUGGUGCUAAAUUUGUAAAUACAGUAAUUACUACAUAACUUUAUUGUGUAUUGAACUGCUUGUUCUGUCGAUUUGUUGUAAAACAUGCUGUUUUAGUACCUAAUUUGUAAAAUCAUAAUGUAAUUUGACGUUUAAUAGGUUUUUCCUUAAUCCCUCUUUAUUAUCCAACAUUUUCGCUUAUCCAACGUCCUGCCGAGUGAGACUCUACUGUAUUAACACAAUGGUUUGGAAAUCCUGGUUUUGACUGCAAUGUCCUGUUGGCCAUUGUGGCUAAGAUAUCUUUCAUACUACACAACCGUAGUACAUUGAUAAUCUUUUAACUGUUAUAUCUGCAUCCUGUAAAAUUCUGGGAUCUGUAAUUUGAGGAGCUACCUAAUUUCUAUGUGUCAGACUUGUAAAUGCUCCCCUAACUCUAAAAGGAGGAAUUAUUGGACAGUUUGGAAUGGCUCAGCGUGGUUCUGGGAGCUGUGGUCCACAGAGGUAAAAUCCAAUUUUUGACAAAGCUAAGCAUGCUACAGAGACUGAAGAAUGUUGGUGCUGACUGGAAAAGUUCCCCUGGGAGAUGUUCCAGCUGAACGUGGCCUUCCUUCCUUCCUGAGCUGAGCUUUGGACUUACACAACCCCUUUCUGCAGCAGCACCACACCCGUUCUAAGCCAGGCACGUGUCCCCGGGCUGCAGGAGGCUGCCAGAUGCACAGGAAGGAGGGAAGGGAGUUCACACACAGAGACACAUCAGCAAGCAGUCCGGCAUCAGUGUUGUCCUCACCAACUAAAAUCACAGUCAGAAGAGACCACAAGGACUGAUUGCAAAAUAAAAGAGAAUGGGGCCAUGCUUUCUUUAAAAAUAGGUUUUAAUAGCAAUGAACUUUAAUAAUGAGACAAAUAAAAGAGUUCAGUAUCUUGAAGGACAUUUCAAGCUUUUAAAAUUUCUUUAUCAGACCUUCCAUCUUUUUGAACUCUUAUCUACCAACACAAGUGACCCACCACACAGUUUUGUAUUGAACAGAUACAGCAACCAUUCACAGAAAUAAAAUAAAAUAAUAAAAAUUCCAGAUUUACUGAAAUGUAUCAGGUAAUUUUUGCUGCCACAAUAUUCAACAUAAAGGUGUUGAAUAAGAGAAAGGCCAGAAAAAUAGUUUUUGAGAUGGCACAGAAAUGCCAAGCAUCCAUGUCAAAAUAUUAUAUAGGAGUUGUGUUUUGUUGUAUUUUUGAUGCUUUGGUUUGUCUUCUCUGAAAAAUAAGACUCAUUAACAUUUCACUAUCCUACAGGAUAACUAAAAGUAUGCAAACUCAUUUGGCUUGAAAGUCAUUUUCUCUUUCCCUGGUGAUACAGCAGCUUUUCUUGUAAAGACUUCUCUCCCACAUAGGAUACCAGUUGGUUUAUUUAUAAGACUGGAGCCUCCCAUAAGGGCAUCUGAAAAACAUGAAAGCAAAAUCAAAACAUUUAGAUACCAGACAGAUUCAUCAUGAUCAAACAGUGAUUUGAUCUUGUACCUUGUUCAGUGUUUCUUUUAGACAUUAUUUCAAUCAUACCCUUCUUUUUCCUACUGAACCUCCAUGUCUCCCACAAGUCAGUACAGUAAUUUUAGAGUGCAGUAAUUCUAGGUUAGGUAAUUUUAGACCUUGAAUUAAUCAUUUUCAGGUGGCAUUGUAUAUUAUUUCAGCUGUCACUAACAUAUCUGUCUUCCUACUCCAGACACACAUAUAUUUCAGUUAAUGAAGUAGACAUGUUCCUGAAUGUGUUUCAGCUAAUCUUUGUGUCAGAAUGAAAGACAUGCAUGUGUGAAAUGAAAUAACUGUAUCAGAUACCCUUUGUGUGAAUAAAAAAAUUGAAAUCCUCUAAAGA